This 451-nucleotide ribosomal RNA is filed under the name uncultured bacterium. Its description in RNAcentral is "bacterial SSU rRNA". It matches the Rfam family "Bacterial small subunit ribosomal RNA", at positions 354 to 796 of the family's 1533-position model. The record is from RNAcentral.
GUGGGGAAUUUUGCGCAAUGGGGGAAACCCUGACGCAGCAACGCCGCGUGGAGGAUGAAGGCCUUCGGGUCGUAAACUCCUGUCGACCGGGACGAAAGCAGCUCGGCCCAAUACGCCGAGCUGUCGACUGUACCGGUGGAGGAAGCUCCGGCUAACUCUGUGCCAGCAGCCGCGGUAAUACAGAGGGAGCGAGCGUUGUUCGGAAUUACUGGGCGUAAAGGGCGCGUAGGCGGCCUUGCAAGUCUCGUGUGAAAUCCCUCGGCUCAACUGAGGAACUGCACGGGAAACUGUUUGGCUUGAGUUCGGGAGAGGGAAGCGGAAUUCCGGGUGUAGCGGUGAAAUGCGCAGAUAUCCGGAGGAACACCAGUGGCGAAGGCGGCUUCCUGGACCGACACUGACGCUGAGGCGCGAAAGCUAGGGGAGCAAACGGGAUUAGAUACCCUAGUAGUCC